CUUGGUCAUUUAGAGGAAGUAAAAGUCGUAACAAGGUCUCCGUAGGUGAACCUGCGGAGGGAUCAUUACAAGUGACCCCGGUCUUACCACCGGGAUGUUCAUAACCCUUUGUUGUCCGACUCUGUUGCCUCCGGGGCGACCCUGCCUUCGGGCGGGGGCUCCGGGUGGACACUUCAAACUCUUGCGUAACUUUGCAGUCUGAGUAAACUUAAUUAAUAGAUUAAAACUUUUAACAACGGAUCUCUUGGUUCUGGCAUCGAUGAAGAACGCAGCGAAAUGCGAUAAGUAAUGUGAAUUGCAGAAUUCAGUGAAUCAUCGAAUCUUUGAACGCACAUUGCGCCCCCUGGUAUUCCGGGGGGCAUGCCUGUUCGAGCGUCAUUUCACCACUCAAGCCUCGCUUGGUAUUGGGCAACGCGGUCCGCCGCGUGCCUCAAAUCGACCGGCUGGGUCUUCUGUCCCCUAAGCGUUGUGGAAACUAUUCGCUAAAGGGUGUUCGGGAGGCUACGCCGUAAAACAACCCCAUUUCUAAGGUUGACCUCGGAUCAGGUAGGGAUACCCGCUGAACUUAAGCAUAUCAAUAAGCGGAGGA
RNAcentral lists this ribosomal RNA (589 nucleotides) under uncultured fungus. RNAcentral's name for it is "eukaryotic LSU rRNA". The stretch from base 225 to 378 matches the Rfam family "5.8S ribosomal RNA". The record is from RNAcentral. Lineage: Eukaryota; Fungi.